Molecule: long non-coding RNA, 477 nt
Organism: Xenopus tropicalis (tropical clawed frog)
Lineage: Eukaryota; Metazoa; Chordata; Amphibia; Anura; Pipidae
Exons: 3
Source: RefSeq, a predicted model, not a curated record
UCCAUUCUCCUUCCCACAGAACAAGUGCUUGCUGGCUAGGGAUCAUAUGAACCAAGCACAGCCAAGGAGUAGCAGAAAUGUGAUCUGCGAAUCUCUGCAAAUUAAAAAACAAAGCCCUGCCUCUGAGGAAGUGCGAUGUUCUCAUGGUUGAAAGGGGAAGCUGUGGUGAGCACAAAUGCAUCGGAGGAUUGAAAUGCUUGCGUAUGAAUUUGAUUCACAUGAGGAGACAGGGACUCUUGUUUUGCCACACUGGGCCGGGUGAUGCUGCUCUUCCUUCCUGCUGCAGCAGGCUUAGUAUAUAAGGAAGAGAAUGUGCCUAGGUUAGCCAUCAUUUCAUCUUGUGCCUGACCCAGUUUGGAACAGUGACCCACAAGAGUGAAUGAGAAAAGAAUGAACAAAAGGAGUGAUUCUGUCUGCUUUCCAUAGCCGCUGAAUAUCACAUGAAUAAAAGAAAUCAAACAUAAUAUGUUUAUUUUA